This 490-nucleotide ribosomal RNA is filed under the name uncultured bacterium. Its description in RNAcentral is "partial 16S ribosomal RNA". It matches the Rfam family "Bacterial small subunit ribosomal RNA", at positions 30 to 507 of the family's 1533-position model. The record is from RNAcentral.
AUUGAACGCUGGCGGCAGGCCUAACACAUGCAAGUCGAACGGUAACAGGAAACAGCUUGCUGUUUCGCUGACGAGUGGCGGACGGGUGAGUAAUGUCUGGGAAACUGCCUGAUGGAGGGGGAUAACUACUGGAAACGGAAGCUAAUACCGCAUAACGUCGCAAGACCAAAGAGGGGGACCUUCGGGCCUCUUGCCAUCGGAUGUGCCCGGAUGGGAUUAGCUAGUAGGUGGGGUAACGGCUCACCUAGGCGACGAUCCCUAGCUGGUCUGAGAGGAUGACCAGCCACACUGGAACUGAGACACGGUCCAGACUCCUACGGGAGGCAGCAGUGGGGAAUAUUGCACAAUGGGCGCAAGCCUGAUGCAGCCAUGCCGCGUGUAUGAAGAAGGCCUUCGGGUUGUAAAGUACUUUCAGCGGGGAGGAAGGGAGUAAAGUUAAUACCUUUGCUCAUUGACGUUACCCGCAGAAGAAGCACCGGCUAACUCCGUG